RNAcentral lists this ribosomal RNA (279 nucleotides) under uncultured bacterium. RNAcentral's name for it is "partial 16S ribosomal RNA". It matches the Rfam family "Bacterial small subunit ribosomal RNA", at positions 506 to 784 of the family's 1533-position model. The record is from RNAcentral.
UGCCAGCCGCCGCGGUAAUACGGAGGGUGCAAGCGUUGUCCGGAUUUAUUGGGUUUAAAGGGUGCGUAGGCGGUCUUUUAAGUCAGAGGUGAAAUCCCACAGCUUAACUGUGGAACUGCCUUUGAAACUGGAAGACUUGAGUAUAGUUGAGGUAGGCGGAAUUUAUGAUGUAGCGGUGAAAUGCAUAGAUAUCAUAAAGAACACCGAUUGCGAAGGCAGCUUACUGGACUAUAACUGACGCUGAGGCACGAAAGCAUGGGGAGCGAACAGGAUUAGAUA